Molecule: long non-coding RNA, 544 nt
Filed under: Equus asinus (donkey)
Lineage: Eukaryota; Metazoa; Chordata; Mammalia; Perissodactyla; Equidae
Description: lncRNA (ENSEASG00005028433.1)
Source: RNAcentral
UGUGGAAUUGUGAAAAUACGUGGUUUGUGAGAUGGAAGUGGCAGCAGAAGAAAACGUUUUUGUCAAGUAUUUGCUGUGUGCCAGGCAUAGUACGGCUGGGAUCUUUCCACCUGUUAGUUCAUCGAAUCCUCAAAACGCCAAGUGCAGAGGAUGUGACGGGCCUUUGCCAUCCCAGCCCCCCGGCCAUCAGGAGCAGAGCCUUUGUGACACACCUCAGCUUCUGCAAUAAAUGAGGGCUGAUGAUAAAUCAGGCAGCACAGAGACAAGGAAACUAAGGCCUCCUGGAGUUAACUUACUGGCUCAAGUCACUAAGAGACAGGCUGAAAACUACCUAAUACAAAUCAGUUCCAACCCCUGCCAGGCCAGGAUGGCUUCCGGGACACCCCAACUCACGUUGGCCCUCAUCUCCUCUGAGUGUCCUAACACAUCUGCUCCACUCCUUUGGCUCUUGGUCAUGGCUUACCUUGAGAUAUCCUUUCACUUAUUUCUCUUUAUAUUCUCUUGGCUGUUAACCUGUAAUAUCCUGUUUCUCUCAAUUAUAAAC